Molecule: non-coding RNA, 140 nt
Organism: Schistosoma margrebowiei
Lineage: Eukaryota; Metazoa; Platyhelminthes; Trematoda; Strigeidida; Schistosomatidae
Source: Rfam
GACUUUGCGCAUUGGUGGUAACGUAGCCAAUGAAGUUUAUUUGAGGCGCGGUUGUUAUUAGUUGAAAACUACUUAUGUCCCAAUCGGCUCAUCAAAAUACCAUUCAUCAACACUAUUAUAUUGGUCACUAAUAAUAAUAA